CAUAUACUCCGUCCAUUCCAAAAUUCUUGUCUUACAUUUGUCUAGAUACGAAUGUAUCUCAUGCUAAAACAUAACUAGAUACAUUCGUAUUUCGAUAGAUCUAAGACAAGAAUUUUAGAAUGGAGGGAGUAUAUA
Non-coding RNA from Triticum aestivum (bread wheat), 135 nucleotides. The record is from Rfam. NCBI's taxonomy places the organism in Eukaryota, Viridiplantae, Streptophyta, Magnoliopsida, Poales, Poaceae.